UUGAUUUAACACAUUGGUUUUUGUAAAUAUGCCAUGAGAGGUAGCUCUUUUUCCUCAUUCAGAUCCUCAGUGCUGCAAAGCCUCGGUUUCAACUGGCAUGAGUAUUAAACACGGUCCCGGUUGUGAAGCUACACUGGCCAGGCUACCUUUGGAACGCUAAUCCCGAGACGGUGGUUUCUCUACUUUGAUGAGAACUCACAGUGAUGUUUUCUACCAUUGGAAGCUGUUUCAACUUAUCUGGAGCAGGAAGGAAUGCCUGUGACAGAUCCCUGUGUCUGCUCCACGACUUUCUCAUUAUGUUGGCAGCCCUUGGAGAUUCUGGAUCUGGCUUAAUGAGUGAGCCUCUCCGAAGGGUUGAUAUUCAAAAUAUUAUACAGCACAUAUAGCAGGGACACUGACAAAUCAGAAUGCUGACUGCAAACAACCAGAACACCGACUCACAGUGUUCCCAGUAAACGUUUCUACUGGACUCUGACCCAGCCUUCUCUUUCAGUUCCUACAAAGAAAGUCCUUCUCUGUUUGAGCCCCACAGGACAGCCACCAGAUGCCUUUACCUAUCAUGCUCCCUCCCCUCAUAUGACAGAUAAGAAGGGUCAUGUAACACAAAUUAAACACAACGUUAUAAUCAGA
Molecule: long non-coding RNA, 630 nt
Organism: Hyaena hyaena (striped hyena)
Lineage: Eukaryota; Metazoa; Chordata; Mammalia; Carnivora; Hyaenidae
Exons: 3
Source: RefSeq, a predicted model, not a curated record